Molecule: ribosomal RNA, 1561 nt
Filed under: Lactiplantibacillus plantarum
Lineage: Bacteria; Bacillati; Bacillota; Bacilli; Lactobacillales; Lactobacillaceae
Description: 16S ribosomal RNA
Rfam family: Bacterial small subunit ribosomal RNA
Source: RNAcentral
UAAUUUGAGAGUUUGAUCCUGGCUCAGGACGAACGCUGGCGGCGUGCCUAAUACAUGCAAGUCGAACGAACUCUGGUAUUGAUUGGUGCUUGCAUCAUGAUUUACAUUUGAGUGAGUGGCGAACUGGUGAGUAACACGUGGGAAACCUGCCCAGAAGCGGGGAUAACACCUGGAAACAGAUGCUAAUACCGCAUAACAACUUGGACCGCAUGGUCCGAGCUUGAAAGAUGGCUUCGGCUAUCACUUUUGGAUGGUCCCGCGGCGUAUUAGCUAGAUGGUGGGGUAACGGCUCACCAUGGCAAUGAUACGUAGCCGACCUGAGAGGGUAAUCGGCCACAUUGGGACUGAGACACGGCCCAAACUCCUACGGGAGGCAGCAGUAGGGAAUCUUCCACAAUGGACGAAAGUCUGAUGGAGCAACGCCGCGUGAGUGAAGAAGGGUUUCGGCUCGUAAAACUCUGUUGUUAAAGAAGAACAUAUCUGAGAGUAACUGUUCAGGUAUUGACGGUAUUUAACCAGAAAGCCACGGCUAACUACGUGCCAGCAGCCGCGGUAAUACGUAGGUGGCAAGCGUUGUCCGGAUUUAUUGGGCGUAAAGCGAGCGCAGGCGGUUUUAAGUCUGAUGUGAAAGCCUUCGGCUCAACCGAAGAAGUGCAUCGGAAACUGGGAAACUUGAGUGCAGAAGAGGACAGUGGAACUCCAUGUGUAGCGGUGAAAUGCGUAGAUAUAUGGAAGAACACCAGUGGCGAAGGCGGCUGUCUGGUCUGUAACUGACGCUGAGGCUCGAAAGUAUGGGUAGCAAACAGGAUUAGAUACCCUGGUAGUCCAUACCGUAAACGAUGAAUGCUAAGUGUUGGAGGGUUUCCGCCCUUCAGUGCUGCAGCUAACGCAUUAAGCAUUCCGCCUGGGGAGUACGGCCGCAAGGCUGAAACUCAAAGGAAUUGACGGGGCCCGCACAAGCGGUGGAGCAUGUGGUUUAAUUCGAAGCUACGCGAAGAACCUUACCAGGUCUUGACAUACUAUGCAAAUCUAAGAGAUUAGACGUUCCCUUCGGGGACAUGGAUACAGGUGGUGCAUGGUUGUCGUCAGCUCGUGUCGUGAGAUGUUGGGUUAAGUCCCGCAACGAGCGCAACCCUUAUUAUCAGUUGCCAGCAUUAAGUUGGGCACUCUGGUGAGACUGCCGGUGACAAACCGGAGGAAGGUGGGGAUGACGUCAAAUCAUCAUGCCCCUUAUGACCUGGGCUACACGUGCUACAAUGGAUGGUACAACGAGUUGCGAACUCGCGAGAGUAAGCUAAUCUCUUAAAGCCAUUCUCAGUUCGGAUUGUAGGCUGCAACUCGCCUACAUGAAGUCGGAAUCGCUAGUAAUCGCGGAUCAGCAUGCCGCGGUGAAUACGUUCCCGGGCCUUGUACACACCGCCCGUCACACCAUGAGAGUUUGUAACACCCAAAGUCGGUGGGGUAACCUUUUAGGAACCAGCCGCCUAAGGUGGGACAGAUGAUUAGGGUGAAGUCGUAACAAGGUAGCCGUAGGAGAACCUGCGGCUGGAUCACCUCCUUU